RNAcentral lists this small RNA (620 nucleotides) under Arabidopsis thaliana (thale cress). Its description in RNAcentral is "ATSL207710". The record is from RNAcentral. Lineage: Eukaryota; Viridiplantae; Streptophyta; Magnoliopsida; Brassicales; Brassicaceae.
AGUGGAGUUAGAGCAAUCAAGAACAAAUCUACCUAGAUAUGGAGCUUCUCAGUGGUCUAAUCUAGAGUGAUGGUGCAGAUGUACUCAGCAAUGUCCACCCUCUAUGUGUUUUCUUUCUUGGCUUUAGGUAGCAUCAUGGCACUGAUAUCCCUUGUCAGCAGUUUAGCUUCCUCAUAGCUAAUUCCAUUGUCAACAAGGCGCUUGACAUACCUGUUGAGUGGAGCAGAGGAUGUCUCAGAAGUAUCCUUAGGAAGUGAGGUGAGGAUCUUUUCCAUGAUGGUUGUGCACUUAGCAGCAUGAAUCUCCUGCUUAGAACAACGCUUCUUUGGAUAAGGAACAGGAGGAGUGUAGGCAGAUUCGGGCUGCAUCGGGAUUCUCACCUCAUAUGGUGCAGUCCGGACCCAAUGUCGAUCGACACCUUCGUAUGGAAUCGUCUUAGAAAAUAGUGUUCCAUAGGGUGUCGAUCGACACUAGUAGGUGUCGGUCGACACCAGCUCUGCAGCUGUGAGCUCCAACUCGUCUUCAGUGUCCAAUUCCUCCCACUCAUCAUCUCCAUAUCUGACCAAGAUGACAUUACAGCUCUUCCUAGAGUUAGCAUCAAGGUUUCAAGGAAGAAAAAC